UAUCUCUGUAGAGUCUGCAUAUCAAUAAGCGGAGGAAAAGAAACUAACAAGGAUUCCCUUAGUAACGGCGAGUGAAGCGGGAAGAGCUCAAAUUUGAAUCUUCAAGGUUCUACCUUGACGAAUUGUAGUUUAAAGAAGUGUUUUCUGUUAGAUGAGUUAGGCUAAAAGUUCCUUUGGAAUAGGGACAUCAUAGAGGGUGAGAAUCCCGUAUUUGACCGUUAUUUUCAGCUGUGUGAUACACUUUCAAAGAGUCGGAUUGUUUGGGAAUGCAGUCCAAAAUGGGUGGUAAAUUUCAUCUAAAGCUAAAUAUUGGCGAGAGACCGAUAGCGAACAAGUACCGUGAGGGAAAGAUGAAAAGAACUUUGAAAAGAGAGUUAAACAGUACGUGAAAUUGUCAAAAGGGAAGCGUUUGACACCAGUGUUGUUUUUCCAAAAAUCAAUUACGAAUGGCUUGAUUUUGUGUUGUAUUGACCUUAUCAGCUUUCUUCACUUUUUUCGAGUCUUUCUUAAUGCACUUUUUGGUUAACAAGUCAACAUCAAUUUCUUUUGUUGUAAAAGAGUAUUCGGAAGGUGGCUUUCUUUUCGGAGAAAGUGUUUAUAGCCCUAUACUUCUACAAUCGGAGAGAUUGAGGUCUGCAGCGUAGAUCCUUCGGGGUUAGAUACACUUGUGCUAAGUUGUAGCUUUUCAUAGACAACUUGUUGACUAUGUUUAGUCUUGCGGCUUACUCGCUUGUGCUAUUUUACCUACGCUUAGGAUGUUGACUGAUAUGUAGUCGUA
This 778-nucleotide ribosomal RNA is filed under the name uncultured Neocallimastigales. RNAcentral's name for it is "partial large subunit ribosomal RNA". It matches the Rfam family "Eukaryotic large subunit ribosomal RNA", at positions 24 to 644 of the family's 3401-position model. Lineage: Eukaryota; Fungi; Neocallimastigomycota; Neocallimastigomycetes; Neocallimastigales. The record is from RNAcentral.